Molecule: long non-coding RNA, 1995 nt
Filed under: Phasianus colchicus (ring-necked pheasant)
Lineage: Eukaryota; Metazoa; Chordata; Aves; Galliformes; Phasianidae
Description: lncRNA (ENSPCLG00000009830.1)
Source: RNAcentral
GCCCAAAGUCCAGAUCAAGCUCUUCUCCCAGGCUUUGGAGGCUCCUACUAUGAUGCCAUUAACAAGAACCUGUAUGUGCAUGCAGCAAGGCUGGAGGAUGCUGGGGAGUUUAUUGCUGUCCUGCUGAACACUGUGGCAUGGAUUGCAGCAGGUUGUCCCUCAGCUGGUACUGCUCAUUCCUGCUUUAUGAUGGAGCUCAACAGAGCUAUUGUGAUUCUUGCCAAUGCCUUUUUCCAGGUUUCAUGGGGGAUAGCAGACAAGGGAGUCUAGACUGCAAAAGUACCAGAGUCUUCAUCUGCAAGAGGGGAUCUUAGACAGGAUGGGAAAUUCACAGAGAAGUGACUAUGACAGGAAUUCAGACCCCUCUUCUGUUAAGCUGAAGGUUACACAACUGGAGGAGAGGCUGGAUGAACUAAACAAAGCAUUUGUUGAAUUGACAGUACAGGCCAUGGGUCUGCAAGAAGAUGGAGAUCUGUUGGAGAAAGAGCUGAGAACACAGGAGGAGUCACUUGUGACUGCAAGCAACAAAGAAACGUGGGGAGCUCAGCAGUAUUCUGAAAUGUUAGAUUCUUGGGUCACAAAGAGGGAUGAAGCCUUGCUGCUGGAAAUAGAGAGGAACUGGAUUGUUCAGAAGAUUGAAGAGAUGGAAACACAGCUGUUGCAUCUUAGAAGUAAAGCAGCCAGCAGUUCACCUCCUUGAGGAACCUAAAAGGCAAUGGUUACAGCAUGGAUGUGUAUGUAAUUAGAGAUGCACAUGAUCAAUUAUAUUGUGGAUAAUUCAUAUUUGUUGUGGUUCUUUUUUAGUUGAUUGAAGUAUAUUCAUGCUCAGCUAUCAGUAAUGUGUAGGCAUGAGAGAUAAGCUGAGGUUCUUAAUAUCCUUCACUAAUUUUAGAGUUUCUGUUGGUAAGUCAGGAAAGCAGAAAUGAUGUGAGGCCAUUAAUGGCCCCCACUUAACAAUGUGUUCUGCAUAGCCUCUUCCACAUCUGACAUCAAGGGUGUUUUUGAGGAUCUUUUAGAUACAGUUUAGAGCCUUACUUCUAAGCCUUGCCCAGCAACUCUACACUGCUAUGCAUGUUUUCAGUGUAAUCUUAUUGAUCUCAAUAAGGUGUGAUUUGGGAGCAAAGAGUACACUUAAAUUAUUCCCUGUAGUGAUGACUGCAGCAAUUUGUGUAGCUUCUGGUGUAGCUUCCUGCUCCAUCUCUUUCUGCACAGCAUUCCUUAGUUCCAGGUGAAAUAGAAUAACAUAAAAUUGCUUGACUGUGAGCCAGUACGAAGCCUGGGCAAAACCACACAGGUAGGCUUCAGCCAGCUGUUUCCAACAACAAAGCCAGUUCUCUUUUCAUUCUGCAGUAUUUACUGAAUUGCUGAUGUGUGAAAAAAAUUGUGUACCUGCUCCUUCCUGGUUCCUAAACACAAAUUUGUCCUUACUCAUUCUCCCUUAGCAGAGUGUAUUAAUUAGAGGAUGAGACUUCAGUGCCAAGGAGCCCAGACAGAAGCCCUCAACUCUGGUCCCACUUACUGGGGUCUCUGGUGGAUCCAGAGGAACUUCAUGUUCUUUUGCCCUCAUCUGAUUGUGCUGAUUACAUGUUUUCUGAGCUUGCUCCCAGAUGCAGAAGGUUUGUUUUGGUUCCUUUGCAACCUCACCUUGGGAAAAUUCGAUUAUUUGCUGGCACUUUGAAGGGCCUUUAAGGAAAUGAGAGGGUUUAUGGAAGCCAAAUAUACCUAUUGGCAAGCACUAUGAAACAGUGGGAUUUUUUUUCCUAGAUUACAGCAGUGAAAAGGCUGCCAUUGCUCUCCUUAUUGCUUUCGUCUUUUAGGUUAUCAGCAGAUACUUUUACAGCAGUACUACCUGCAGGUAAGCAUCUUCAGACACUGCUGUCUCUGUAACAUCCACAGGAAAACAUUUAGGUGGUAAAGUUACCUCUGUGUGCUCUGUGUGUUGUAUUUUUAAGGCAGACUGGGAGGCGUUAGCAAAUAAAAUGUGUCAGUUUUUCA